CAACCAUAAUACAUAUAGACAACCAUAACAUAUUAACAUAUACCACUCAAUCCAAGUCUGUCUCUAAAUUUUUACAAACAACUAUCAAAUAUUAUAAGCACUGAUUAAGAAAAAAGAGAGAAAACAUGACAAAAAAUUGGAGAGGAUCAAAAUCCCUGCACAACACUCACAUAAAAGGAAAAUAGGAAUUAGUUUUUAUUGUCUUAUUAUUUUUUUACAUUUACAAAGCUCUAUGAACAUUUAACUACUACUACAUGCAUACAUAUAUUUUCAAAAAUCACUACUAUACUACUGGGCAAAAUAUAAAAGUACAAUAUAUAUAAAACAUUAGCUAUAAUAUAAUUUAACCUUCACCUUUAAUUUGGACCCCAGCAACUCAAGUACAUCACAGUUCUAAGAGAUUCCUCAGCUUUUUUAAACCUAUCAACAUUGUUGUUGUUAGCAUCACGGUUGUUUGAUUUGGAAGGACAUAUUAUUGUUGAGGAGCCUUUGUGAGAACUAAUGAAGUUUUUUCUUUGUGAUCCAUUUUUGAUUCCUUCUUCCAUGUUUGAAACCACUUGUAGAUUUUU
Molecule: long non-coding RNA, 569 nt
Filed under: Trifolium pratense (red clover)
Lineage: Eukaryota; Viridiplantae; Streptophyta; Magnoliopsida; Fabales; Fabaceae
Description: long non-coding RNA (TPRA_LNC013209)
Source: RNAcentral